RNAcentral lists this long non-coding RNA (1671 nucleotides) under Equus caballus (horse). RNAcentral's name for it is "lncRNA (ENSECAG00000035684.3)". Lineage: Eukaryota; Metazoa; Chordata; Mammalia; Perissodactyla; Equidae. The record is from RNAcentral.
GGGGUCUCAAGCAAGGAAGACACAGAUGUCAGGGGAUAACUUGAAUGGCUGAGGGCUGGAAUAGAUAGCCUGCAGGAUUUUUGCAUUGUGGUUUUCUCACUGACCUUCCUGGCUCCUGGGCCAGGAUGACUGGAAGGUAAGGUUGGGUUCAGCUGAGUCUAUUAACGAGAGCACCUACCUGUGGCUUGGACUUCUCACAGCGUGGCAGCUGGGUCCUGAGAGGGAGCCUUCCAGAAGAGCAAGCAUUCCAGCAAGCAUUCCAAAAGAACUUGGCAGAAGCUGCACCGUCUUCUAUGACACAGUUUCUCUUUCCUCAUACUUGCAUGGCUGAGGUAGUUGCAAGUCCAUCCAGAUUCAAGAUGUGGUGGUAUAGACCCCACCUCUCAGUGGGAGAAGUAUCAAAAAAAUUGGGGGCCAUGUUGUAAAACUGCCACACUGGUUUGAACUUUGAUUUAUAUACAUAUUCUCUACUGGAGCUAUAAGCUAUUUGAGGAUAAAAGUUGUGUCUUAUUUAGUUUUGAGCUUUCAGGACCUCAGACAAGUCCUGCUACUUAACAGAAACCCAUGGGAGCCCCAUGUGACACUGGCAGCAUGAUGGGGAAGACAGAUAGCACGCAGGGACGCAGAUAAAGCAGUCAGGACAAACUCGAGUGCAUCGCGUGUCGAGGCAGAGCACACAUGAGGAAGAGCUCCUGGCUAAGGUCGAGACGUGUACGUGGGCUCCGUCUCUGUCAUCAGUCAUGAAGCCAAAUUAAACUGAAGCAUAAGCAUUGCCCUCCAUCAUGUUUAUCUGCAAGAUAUUAAUAAAAACACGGUGGCUGUUCAUUCCAUUUUUCACUUUUACUUGUCAUUACCUUGUUGCACCAAUCAAGCAAACAGAUGGUGAUCACUUAAUUGAAGUACAGAGGCUGAGCUUUACACCUAUAUUUCAUAACUGUCUGGACGAUGGAACCAUGUGCACGUUUUACCAACAGCCCUUGAGAGAGGUUAUCUUGCAUGGCUUAAGGAGAAAGAAUCCACAUGUCGAAGGAACACAUUUAUAAUUGUGGGAUAUCAGGCACCACUGACAGUGACUAAAGAAGUUUGGAGGCAUCGGUGCUCAGAUCUCAUCUUCUCCUGGAGUGGGCCAUCUCUGUCUAUUCCUGGACAGUCUGCCCUGCUUAUCAGCUCACAGCUAAAUCUUCCACCUGAACAGCUUCUCCCAUCCUCAUUAACUCAGGACGGUCGCUGUGCUCAGGAUCUUCUGACACUUUCUCUGGCUUUUUUCAUCCUGACUUCUCCACGUUCCAUGGGUAUCUUCCCCUUCACUUUCAAGGAUACACAAGUUCACUCAACUUGAUAAUUCUUCAUUUGGUUCUGUUGCAUACUCUAAGAAAUCUGUCAAUCUCCUCUCUUUUACUGCCCAAACUUUUAAGUGUAUAUUAUAUACGUCCUCUGCCUCUAUCUUUCACUGCCUGCUCAUUCUUUAAAAUUUUGAUUAAAUUUUAACUCAACAAAACUUCUUGUGGCAACAUCCUAAGUCUUUACUCUUCUUGAUGCCUUUUUGAAAUUCAAUUCUUCUAACAAUCCCUUCUUCUAGAAUAAUCAUUCGCAAUCUUAUCAGACCCUCAAUUCCUUUUAGCACAAAUACUUGUGAUGCUGCCCUAUCAUUCUGUAAUGAAAUGCGUUGAC